This 492-nucleotide ribosomal RNA is filed under the name uncultured bacterium. Its description in RNAcentral is "partial 16S ribosomal RNA". It matches the Rfam family "Bacterial small subunit ribosomal RNA", at positions 29 to 507 of the family's 1533-position model. The record is from RNAcentral.
AGUGAACGCUGGCGGUAGGCCUAACACAUGCAAGUCGAACGGCAGCACAGUAAGAGCUUGCUCUUACGGGUGGCGAGUGGCGGACGGGUGAGGAAUACAUCGGAAUCUACUUUUUCGUGGGGGAUAACGUAGGGAAACUUACGCUAAUACCGCAUACGACCUACGGGUGAAAGCAGGGGAUCUUCGUACCUUGCGCGAUUGAAUGAGCCGAUGUCGGAUUAGCUAGUUGGCGGGGUAAAGGCCCACCAAGUCGACGAUCCGUAGCUGGUCUGAGAGGAUGAUCAGCCACACUGGAACUGAGACACGGUCCAGACUCCUACGGGAGGCGGCAGUGGGGAAUAUUGGACAAUGGGCGCAAGCCUGAUCCAGCCAUACCGCGUGGGUGAAGAAGGCCUUCGGGUUGUAAAGCCCUUUUGUUGGGAAAGAAAAGCAGCAGGUUAAUACCCCGCUGUUCUGACGGUACCCAAAGAAUAAGCACCGGCUAACUUCGUG